RNAcentral lists this ribosomal RNA (450 nucleotides) under uncultured bacterium. RNAcentral's name for it is "partial 16S ribosomal RNA". It matches the Rfam family "Bacterial small subunit ribosomal RNA", at positions 354 to 796 of the family's 1533-position model. The record is from RNAcentral.
GUGGGGAAUUUUGGACAAUGGGCGCAAGCCUGAUCCAGCAAUGCCGCGUGCAGGAAGAAGGCCUUCGGGUUGUAAACUGCUUUUGUACGGAACGAAACGGUCCGGGUUAAUACCCUGGGCUAAUGACGGUACCGUAAGAAUAAGCACCGGCUAACUACGUGCCAGCAGCCGCGGUAAUACGUAGGGUGCAAGCGUUAAUCGGAAUUACUGGGCGUAAAGCGUGCGCAGGCGGUUUUGUAAGACAGGCGUGAAAUCCCCGGGCUCAACCUGGGAAUUGCGCUUGUGACUGCAAGGCUGGAGUGCGGCAGAGGGGGAUGGAAUUCCGCGUGUAGCAGUGAAAUGCGUAGAUAUGCGGAGGAACACCGAUGGCGAAGGCAAUCCCCUGGGCCUGCACUGACGCUGAGGUACGAAAGCAUGGGGAGCAAACAGGAUUAGAUACCCGGGUAGUCC